Molecule: long non-coding RNA, 827 nt
Organism: Mangifera indica (mango)
Lineage: Eukaryota; Viridiplantae; Streptophyta; Magnoliopsida; Sapindales; Anacardiaceae
Exons: 2
Source: RefSeq, a predicted model, not a curated record
CUGAUAUUGGAAUUGGCUUGCUAGGAGCCUACAGAAGGCUCCGACUAAGGACUGAUCUAGACCAUAUAUAUAGAGACAGGACGCCGGCCAAUCCCUGUCUCUAAGGCUCGGGUGCCUGCAUUCAUACUGACUUCUCAUUCAUUACCACACAUCUUAGAGGGCGAGCGAAUUCAGCGGAGAUUUAUAUGCUUUCAAGGGAGGGAUUGUGAUGCAAGUGUCAAUUUCUGAAGAUGUUAUGCCCUUACAGAACCAGCAGUAACUUGUGGCAAGAGUAAGAAGCUAAGGAAUUUGCCCAUGAACGGCCAAUUAGCUGAUCAGGAUGAAGAAAGCAGGAGACUCAGUUUGAGCGAGAUUGGAUACAAAAAAUUGGGGAUGGUUGAGAGGCGUGGAUACAAGUAACCGCUAUAACAACCCAUCAGGUGCAGGCAGCACACCAGCAGUCCUCUCACAGAGCAACAAGCGCAGUGCAUCGACGUUUCUUUUAUAACCGCACGGGGGAAACAUCGGAUAAAGACCCCGCAACUUUGUCCCGUUGGGAUUGGUUUAGGGUUUCAAUAACGCAUGUUUUUUCUUACUCCCAUCCCCCCACAUGCCACGUCAUCAACCGCUUUCCAUUUAACAAAUGUUUCUAACUAUAGCGUCUUGGCGAUGUGGGACUUCCUCUCAUGGCCAAGAAACCUCAUGGUUAGGCAGAUUGACGGUGAUAAGGAUGAGCCAGCAGAUUGAAGGCUCAAGAUGUUGUCAUUGUGUUUCUCCAGUUUUAAACAUAAAUGUGUUGUAGUUGUGGUUGUAUUUUCUCCAUUUUAUUUUACAACAUUUUGAAUCCU